GGGGAUGUAGCUCAGUGGUAGAGCGCAUGCUUUGCAUGUAUGAGGUCCCGGUUCAAUCCUGGCAUCUCAA
This 70-nucleotide transfer RNA is filed under the name Ameiurus melas (black bullhead). It matches the Rfam family "tRNA". Rfam says of the family: Transfer RNA (tRNA) molecules are approximately 80 nucleotides in length. Their secondary structure includes four short double-helical elements and three loops (D, anti-codon, and T loops). The record is from Rfam by way of RNAcentral. Lineage: Eukaryota; Metazoa; Chordata; Actinopteri; Siluriformes; Ictaluridae.